GUGAGACUGUGAAUUCUUCAAAAGCAGGUACUGUGUUUAAUGAAGUGUGCCCAGGACUUUGCUCAGUGACUGGAUGACACAGUAGGAGUAACAAGAAAGUUCACAUGGGUGAACCGUGGUAGGUGGACAUCGUCUCUCUCACCUCUUCCCAAAUCAAGGAUGAAGUACAUCUUCAUAAAUCCUCAUGUGAAUUAUUUUGCUACCUCUAGAAGCAUUUUCUAAAACAAGGUGCAGCAAUCAGUUGAGUGAAUUUGUCACCAGAGCUUAUGUUUUCUGAAAGAACCCUAUCCUCAGGCAGUUGUUCCUAAGAGGACCCCACUGGAAAUCGGACUGUUCAACUCACCUGGCAGCCACUCACAGAGCCCGUGGAACUCUGGCCCAAGGCUCUCUGACUCCUUCUCGGCUUAGCGGCUAAAGACUGACACUGCCCGAUCGCCUCGGAAGCCCCGUAGACCAUCACGGACGCCGAGCUUUAGGUAACUCUCACAGUGGAGGAUGAAGAAACUGAGGUCCAGAGAAGUUAAACGACCUUCCUAAGAUUACACAGCUUAGUAAGUGGCAGAACCACAGCUGGAAGCCAGGUCCUUCCUCACGCAAGUCCUGGCUCAUUCAUUCCUCUUCCAAAGACUUGCUGAGCACCUUCUAGGUGCCAGAUGCGGUGCUGGCUCCUGGGGACAUGGGAGUGAACAGGCCAGGCGUGGCCCUGAACCAUCAAAUAGACAACCACAGAAAUAACAACAACAAAGACAAAACCGGGCCCUUCCACACAGUAGCUGGAACACAAAGGAAGAUCAGCCAAGCCUCAACAUAAUCUCAUAAAAAUUCUUCAAAUAUCCCAUUGUUAUGGAUUCAUACAUCAGGAAAGCAGAUGCCAAGAACCUGAACACCUUCUACUGGUAACAUAUAUUUUGGCGAGCCAGCCUGGAGACAAGACCACUAUGGGCAACUUCCUGUCUAUUCUACCUGGUGUCACUGUGGACAACUUCCUAUCUAUUCCACCCGAUUCACCGCUUGGCUACAUCCUCCACCAUUGGGAUGAAUUUGACCCUAACAAUCUAAAGAAAAGGCAUAUGAUUUUUUACUGCAAUAUUGUUUGACACAAUUAUGAGCUGCCCAAUCCGGAACAAUGGGCAGUCAAUGGUAGCCUUAAUUAUGAUACCAUCCUGUAUCUAGACCUAUUUUACAAGAGGCAGGGCAAAUGGUCAGAAGUCCCACAUAUACAGGCCUACAUGACCCUAUACGAAGACCUAAGAAUCUAGGAAACUCCCAGAACCCAUCCCCCGAAGGAAAGUUCUGGGGCAGAACUAGAUAUUAUAGAUGAACCCCCUUUUACAAGGGAUACCUGUCUCUCAGAGUGAGCAGUGACUGUCCCCAUAUAACCCCUCACCAAGUGCUCCUGAGGCUGAAACCCAGGGGCAAACAUGGGGAACCCUACUAAGUCCCCCUCACACUUGGAGGGGAACACUGUAUUCAACUCUCUAUCCAGCCCUGCUACUCUCAGAGAAAUAGCAGGGGCUGAGGGGCCAAUCCUAGUGUGGGUCCCCUUCUCUAUGAUUGAUAUACAACAAUGUAAGGAAAAGCUAGGAAGCUAUUCUGAGGAUUCCGGGAAGUUUGCAGAUGGGUUCCAAACUUUGACCUUAGCCUUUGAUCUCUCAUGGAGAGACGUUCAAUUCACUCUAGCAACCUGUUGCACCUCCUCGGAAAAGGAACGAAUCUUUGAGGCUGCCCUCCGAGAAGUGGACGAAUUAUUCACCCAAAACCGUAAAGGCAGUCACCCAGGCCCAGCCACAGUUCCCACUACGCAUCCUAAUUGAGACCAAGACACCCCCGCAGGAAGGAACAACUGGGCUAAAUUUCUUGAGGCUCUUGGAGGAAUGAGAAAGGGAAUAACUAAGGCAGUAAAUUAUGAUAAAGUAAGGCAGAUUACACAAGGCAGGGAGGAAAACCCAGCUGUGUUUUACGGCAGGCUGCGGGAAGCCUUUAAAAAAUAUAUACUAAUUUGGUCCCUUCCUCUCCUGAAGGCAAGUUAUUAAUGGCACAACGUUUCAUUAGCCAAUCCACACCAGACAUUAGACGUAAGCUCCAAAAGCUACACAUGGGGCCACAAACUAACCAAAAUCAGCUUCUUGGUACUGCCUUCAUGGUGUAUAACAAUCGUGACCUGGAGGAAGGAGAAGGGAAACAGAGUAAAGAAAAACGGCAAGCCAAAAUUAUGUUAGCCAUCACUGGUGAUGCCCUAAAUGCACAAAGAUUGUCCAAGGGAAACUCAAAGGGCCAUAAGGAUAAUGCCAGCAAAGGCUCUUGCUUCAAAUGCAAUAAAAGUGCGAUUGGGCACAGGAAUCCACUAAGCCCCCGCCAGUCCCCUGCCGUCAAUGUAAAAGCACCAGUUGUGGCUCCUGGCCCUGGAGAAUUGACUGUCCCUGCUCCCACCAAGGGGCUCAGUCAGUCAAAACUCUGGCAGUGCACAAGGAGGAAUCAGAUGAAGACUGAAGGGGCCUGGGGCCUUCCUCACUGCCCCGUCUAGGAACAUUGUAAUUACUACUGAGGAACCCUGGGUAACUCUGGACAUCAUGGCCACCCAAAUUCAGUUUUUAUGUGAUACCAAGGUGAAUUAUUCUGUACAACUGCUUAUGCAGGAAAACUUUCCUCCCGGUCCAUGAGUGAUAUUGGAUGGAAGGGAAGCCACAAACAAGAUUCUUACUCCUCCUUUGGUUUGUCAAUUUGAGAAACAAAUCUUCCAACAGGAAUUUUUAGUAGUACCAAGCUGCCCAAUUCCCCUGUGGGAAAGAGAUAUUAUGGUGAAAAUAGUGACACUACUGCAAUUUAAGCAAUAUUAGCAGGUGAAACUGCUAAUAGUAAGAAAUAAGGCAAUGUCCCAGACCAUGUCAAUAAACAGGUUAACCCACUGGCAUGGUAUACUGGAAACCCAGGGAAGGCUAAAACAGCAGUGCCAGUCAAAAUACAGCUUAAAGACCCCAGCCAUUUUCCCAAUGGAAAACAAUACCCAGUUGAACAGGAAGCAAGCAAAGGUCUAGCUCCCAUAGUUGAGAUAUUACUUACCCAUGGACUCUUAAAACCCUGCAAUUCUCCCUGCAAUACCCCCAUCUUACCUGUUCUCAAGCCUGGGGGGAAUACCAGCUAGUACAGAACCUCAGAAUAAUGAAUGAGGCUGUUAUCCCCGUCCACCCAUUGGUGGCAGAUCCAUAUGCCCUCCUGGCUCAGGUGCCAGGGCAUGCAAAAUGGUUCUCAGUCCUAGACCUUUCUUCUCCAUUCCUCUGGCCCCGAGCCCCCCAGUACCUUUUUGCUUUCGAAUGGGAAAAUCCUAAUACCAGAUAAAAACAAUACACUUGGACAGUGCUUCCUCAGGGCUUUCGGGAUAGCCCCCACUUCUUUGCCUGAGCAUUAGAGCGGGAUCUGAGGGAUUUCAAGUUAGAAAAUGGAGGUAUUCUUCAGUAUGGGGAUGACCUUGUGUGUAGCCCAACCUAGGAGGUUUCUGACCAAAAUACUAUAAAAACUUUGAAUUUCCUGGCAGACAGAGGAUACAAAGUGUCCAAAAAGAAGGCUCAGAUUACCCUCCAAUGGGUCCACUAUUUAGGAUAUGUCUUAACACCCGGAACCCGGCAAAUAUCCCCAGAAGGAGUGCAAGCUAUAUGUGGUUUGGCCGCGUGCACCACCCCCAGCCCCCACCCUGACCCACCUCCAAGCAGCAGCUUUGUUCCUUUUUGGGGAUGGCCGGGCUUUGGAGAAUAUGAGUACCAAAUUUUGGGCUCAUAGCAAAGCCCCUAUAUGAAGCAACAAGGGGGCCUGAAAAUGAGCUAAUGGAAUGGACCCCGGAAAUGAGGAAAGCCUUUGCCAAGUUAAAACAGGUUCUCACCCAGGCUCCUGCUCUUGGUAUCCCAGACCUAAUUAAGGCCUUCUCCUUGUAUGUAGCAGAGAAGAGGGGCAUAGCUGUGGGAGUGCUAGCCCAGAAAUUAGGAUCAGAACCCAGACCAACCGCCUACUUCUCAAAAAAGUUGGACGGAGUGGCCUCAGGAUGGCCAAGUUGCCUGCGGGCAAUAGCAGCCACUGCUGUUAGUGGAGGAAGCCACUAAAAUCACCCUAGGGCAACCACUGGAAGUUCUAACGCUCCAUCAGGUAAAGUUAGUCUUAGAAAUAAAGGGACACAUCUGGAUGACAGGGGAAAUGUUAACUAAAUACCAGCCCAUGCUCCUAGACAAUCCAGAUAUAACUCUUAAAACCUGCAACACUUUAAAUCCAGCUUCAUUGCUGCCCACAGGCCCAAUAAUUGAUCAUUCCUGUGAGCAGGUCAUUGCACAUACAUAUGUUAGCCAGCCUGAUUUAAAAGAUGAGGCUCUCCCAGAUUCUGAAGCUGACCGGCUCACAGACGGCAGUAGUUCUUUGUCGAAUGGGGAGCACAGAGCUGGAUAUGCAGCAGUAAAUCAUGACACAAUUAUUGAAGCCCAGCCAGUGCCCCCUGGCACAUCAGCACAAAAGGCUAAAAUCAUUGAUCUUACUCAAGCAUUAAUGUUGGGACAAGGGAAAAAACUUAACAUCUAUACAGAUUCUAAAUAUGCAUUCCUUGUGGUUCAUGCUCAUACCGCCAUCAGGAAAGAAAGGGGAUUACUUACUAGCAAGCACUCCCCUAUAGAGCAUGGACCUGAAAUUCUGCAGCUAUUGAAGGCAAUACACCUGCCAAAGGCCAUAGCUAUCAUUCAUUGUAGGGGGCAUCAAAGGGACUUAACCCCUAUAGCACAAGGGAAUGGAAAGGCUGACGGAAGCCAAAGCAAAAGCCCUCAGCGUGCAAUCCCAACAGAUCCUAGCACUGCUUCCUUUCUACAAUUCCCCAGUAGAACCCAAAUACACACCACAGGAAGAACAGCUAAUAAAAAAAGCAAGGGAGACAAAAACAAGGAUCCUGGUGGCAUAUGGAGCCAAAAAUAUAUCUCCCUCAGGCAGCCCAGUGGAGAGUUAUAAAAGCCCUGCAUGACUCUUUCCAUGUGGGGAGGGAUGCGGCUCUGGCCAUGGUAAACAAGUUCUUUACUGGGUUUAACUCAGCUUCAAUGGCUAAGCAGGUCUGUCAAGCCUGCUCACUGUGUGCAUUUAACAAUCCAGGCAUCAAAAUGCCCCCUCUAAUAAAACCAGUCCAAAGGAGGGGAACUUAUCCAGGGGAAGACUGGCAGUUAGACGUCAUCCAUAUGCCAGCUUGCAGAGGAUACAAGCUUUUGUUAAUACUAAUAGAUACUUUUAGGUUGGGUCAAAGGUUACCCCAGAAAAGGCUAAUGAGGUUCUAAGGUCCUCUUAAAAGAAAUAAUUCCCCAGUUUGGGUUACCUCAGGGUCUCCAAAGUGAUAAUGGCUAAUCCUUUAUCUCCCAAAUAACUCAAGGGGUUGCUAAGGCUCUUGGAAUAAAAUACUAUUUACAUUCAGCCUGGAGGCCCCAAUCCUCUGGAAAAGUGGAAAGGGUUAACCAAACUCUAAAAUAAGCACUAGCUAAACUAUGUCAGGAAACAUCAGAAACUUGGGUUAGCUUAUUGCUCACAGCCCUUUUAAGAAUUUGUAAUACCCCUAGCUCAAAAAUUAACAGAAGCCCAUAUAAAAUGUUAUACAGAAGGCCAUUCUUAACUAAUGAUUUAAUUAUUGACCCAGAAAGAGUUGGUGUAAUUAAAUACCUAGUCAACCCAGAACAAUUCCAGCGGGUUUACAAGAGUUUGGAAUUCAAAGGCUCCUCACACUUGGAACUAACCAGCAACCCAAAAUCAGGCCAGGAGAUAGGGUACUUGUUAAAACAUGGAAUGAGGGAUCACCUGCCCAACAAUUACAACCCCAAUAGAAGGGACUUUUUUCAGUAAUACUGGCCACGUCUUCUGUGGUCAAAGUACUAGUAUUAGAUAGCUGGAUACAUCUUUCAAGGAUCAAACCAUCAAUACCAGAAGCUCCAGACCAGGAACCUGAAGUUCCCAUCAGCCAGUACACCUGUGAACCAGUGGAGGACCUGAAGUACCUGUUUAAAAGAUAGCCAAAAGAUAAGUAAAUGCCUACCAACUUUCUUUGGUGUCUUUGUUGCAUAGUUACUGUGGGCUGGAAAAUAGUAGCCAUUUUUAUCUUUGCAGUUUAAUUGCCUUCUUCCAAAUAGAUAAAAAUCACUUCCUUUGUAAUAAUUAAACAGAAUUUAAAAAAUACAUUUCUAUGACAAAUAUUCCUGAUGGCAUAAGUAUCCACCCCAAGGUUCCCAUUAAAUCUUUUAACCUAAAGUAUUUCCUCUCACCUAGAGAUCAUCGAGCUGUGUGACAAGGGUGCCAGCCACUCCAGGUGAAGACACCACCCCAGGCCAUCAAGGAUCUUCCCUACCUUCACUAAACAGAGCAGGGUGAAAGUUGUGUGAUCCCCAAUAGGUAGGGACUACACCCCAAGUCAGCAGGAAGCAGUUACAGAAGAAAGACCAUUGGUCCCUCUGCUUCCCAUAAAGAUUUAUGGGGAUCACAGCUUUCACGGGGGAGAUGAGGCAAGAGAAUAGGGCAUGCAGGCAGGGUACUUGAGGCCAAUCCACGCUGACUUCCUAGAACUGAAUUAAAUGAAAGCUCCUCAGCAAUGACAGGAAUGUGAAUGGCUUUGUAACUUCUUCCUCUCCAUUAAUGCUAUUUCCACUUUGUAACUUCACUUUCAUCCUCUCCAUUUACAUAGAUCACACACCAAGUAACAUCCUCUCCAUUUACAGUAGGGCGCAUUCCGAGUCAAUGACUCUGACUGCACUUCGUUCUCCUCAUUUACAUAGAACAUUCGCCAAGUAACCAAUGGGAAACCUCUAGAGUAUUGAAACUCCAGAAAAUUCCGUAAGUGGGGCUCUUGAGCGUCUACACUCGGGUCGCUCCCACACUGUGGCGUGUACUUUUAUUCUCAAUAAAUUCCCGCUUUUGCUUUCCUCGUUC
Molecule: long non-coding RNA, 6924 nt
Filed under: Homo sapiens (human)
Lineage: Eukaryota; Metazoa; Chordata; Mammalia; Primates; Hominidae
Description: long independently transcribed non-coding RNA 2700, transcript variant 31 (LINC02700)
Source: RNAcentral